UUUCGCAAUGCCCGAAAGGGUGACGAAGCGACGCCGCGCGCGGGAAGAAGGCCUUCGGGUUGUAAACCGCUGUCGGGAGUUAAGAAGUGCAAGGGUGUUAAUAGCAUCUUUGCUUGACUAAGGCUCCGGAGGAAGCCACGGCUAACUCUGUGCCAGCAGCCGCGGUAAUACAGAGGCGGCAAGCGUUGUUCGGAAUUAUUGGGCGUAAAGAGCACGUAGGCGGCUAUGCAAGUCGGUUGUGAAAGCCUUCCGCUCAACGGAAGAACGGCAUCCGAUACUGCAUGGCUCGAGUGCGGGAGGGGAGAGUGGAACUUCUGGUGGAGCGGUGAAAUGCGUAGAUAUCAGAAGGAACGCCGGCGGCGAAAGCGACUCUCUAGCCCGUAACUGACGCUGAGUGUGCGAAAGCUAGGGGAGCAAACGGGAUUAGAUACCCCGGUAGUCCUAGCCGUAAACGAUGGGCACUAAGUAGAGGGGUUUU
RNAcentral lists this ribosomal RNA (478 nucleotides) under uncultured bacterium. RNAcentral describes it as "bacterial SSU rRNA". It matches the Rfam family "Bacterial small subunit ribosomal RNA", at positions 364 to 832 of the family's 1533-position model. The record is from RNAcentral.